Molecule: ribosomal RNA, 467 nt
Filed under: uncultured bacterium
Lineage: Bacteria
Description: partial 16S ribosomal RNA
Rfam family: Bacterial small subunit ribosomal RNA
Source: RNAcentral
GAUGAACGCUGGCGGCGUGCUUAACACAUGCAAGUCGAACGAUGAUGCCCAGCUUGCUGGGUGGAUUAGUGGCGAACGGGUGAGUAACACGUGAGUAACCUGCCCUUGACUCUGGGAUAAGCCUGGGAAACUGGGUCUAAUACCGGAUACGACCAUCUGGCGCAUGUCAUGGUGGUGGAAAGCUUUUGUGGUUUUGGAUGGACUCGCGGCCUAUCAGCUUGUUGGUGGGGUAAUGGCCUACCAAGGCGACGACGGGUAGCCGGCCUGAGAGGGUGACCGGCCACACUGGGACUGGGACACGGCCCAGACUCCUACGGGAGGCAGCAGUGGGGAAUAUUGCACAAUGGGCGCAAGCCUGAUGCAGCGACGCCGCGUGAGGGAUGACGGCCUUCGGGUUGUAAACCUCUUUCAGUAGGGAAGAAGCGAAAGUGACGGUACCUGCAGAAGAAGCGCCGGCUAACUACGUG